ACGCUCGACACCUACGGGAGGCAGCAGUAGGGAAUCUUCCACAAUGGACGCAAGUCUGAUGGAGCAACGCCGCGUGAGUGAAGAAGGUCUUCGGAUCGUAAAACUCUGUUGUUAGAGAAGAACACGAGUGAGAGUAACUGUUCAUUCGAUGGCGGUAUCUAACCAGCAAGUCACGGCUAACUACGUGUCAGCAGCCGCGGUAAUCUGAGCGGGCUGGCAAGGC
This 223-nucleotide ribosomal RNA is filed under the name uncultured bacterium. RNAcentral describes it as "partial 16S ribosomal RNA". It matches the Rfam family "Bacterial small subunit ribosomal RNA", at positions 328 to 539 of the family's 1533-position model. The record is from RNAcentral.